Non-coding RNA from Rattus norvegicus (Norway rat), 1575 nucleotides. The record is from RefSeq and is a predicted model, not a curated record. NCBI's taxonomy places the organism in Eukaryota, Metazoa, Chordata, Mammalia, Rodentia, Muridae.
AUGCUGUGGGGCUGCUUGGUCACUGAGGUAAUGCUGUAGAGGGCCCCUCCAGCACCCUCUCAAGGCUGAAGGCUGAGUGUGAGUGUUCCCACCAAGGGCUCUUCCUGCAUGCAUUUUUAUACAAUUUGGUUUUCCCGGAUGAAGCCAUUACAGUGCUAAAAAGCGGUGGCCGCCAUGGCUCAGGGUGCCAGGAAUCUAACAGGGGCUUCGGAACAUAAAGCAGCAUGACGGAAGAAGGAUGAUCCUUCUUCCUCCUGACACCGGGAAUUACAGAGCGUUUUAUAUAAGGCGCCUCUAGGCUGCUGGAAGACAGAGUCCAACCCUGGACAGCAUGGGGUGACCUCUGCAAUCCAGAGAACUGCAGUGCUCUGUCCUGGGGAGCCGAGUGACUUCCCCACCCACGGACUUCAUGCGGUCCCAGACAGAAUCUCAACAGUUUGGCUGGUUCAACCAAUGGUGGAAGGUGGGGCUGGGUGAUUAGAACAAAAAACCUUCAACCUCCCAAACCUGACAGUUGUUGCUUUUUGCAGGCCCCUGUGGUGCUCCGGGAAGUGCAAUGACCAGCUGCGAUCCCAGGAGGUUAAGGGUUCUCUGUCUGUGUUGGGCUUGGGAAUGCAGCACACGGAGAUGAGAAACAGAUGUCGGAGCUGGACUGAGCUUUUGCGCUCCCCCGCCCGCCCGGUCCUUUCCCCAGCAGCCAGGGUGUAACAAGGCAGCACUCAUCCUGUGGCCACGUGAACUGGCAGCUACUGGGUGCCGAUCCCCGUGGGGAAAAGCUACAAGAAAAACAAACAAACAAAAUAACUAAUAAAGAAGCUUGCCCUUGCUGGAAAGGCUGUGACAGGAGCUCAAGUCACUUUAGUUUGCAGACAGUGAUCCGCGCCCCCCCUUCCUGUAGUGGAUUCAAUAGGAGUUGUUUUUUGUUGUUUUGUUUUUGAGACCCGGUCUCACUGUGUAGACCAGGCUGGCCUUGAACUUACAGAGAACCGCUUGCCUCUGUCUACCAAGCGCUACUAUUAAAGGCAAGUGCCACCAAGCAUGGCCGGGUUUUUCUUUAAAACAAAACAAACAAACAAACAAACCCAAAACACAUUGAUUUAUAACUGCUGUCUGGGGGCCCUUUGUCAUGGAGAGGUCACUUACUGUGCGAGGAAGGCAGAGAUUUAGAGAGGUAGACCUAACAAAGCGCGGGUGGGGGAAGGGAGGCACCUGCGCAAAGUGUUAAAAACUGCUACUACGCCAGAUGCGCUAAAUGUGACGCUGUUCUUUACAACAGUGAUCCUCCUGCCUGCAAGAGCCAGGCCUCUGACUGCCUGGUCGCGGCGAAUCCAGGAGGUGCACAGACUGCAAACCAGGGGGAGAGGAUCAGCGCCUGCAGAUUGAGCUCCAUCUGAUUUGCAUGUUUAUUCCCUAGAAUUGUAAUUAAAUUUGUGUAAUAAAUGUUUUCCAUUUCAUUUGUACACUCAAAAUUUGGGUGACUGACAUGCGGCUAAGUAAAUUUCCUUUUUUUUUAUUUUAUGAAGCAAAUGUGCCUUAUUCAAUAAAGUAGCUAAUAUUAACCAUCACCAGGACUAA